This 244-nucleotide unclassified non-coding RNA is filed under the name plant metagenome. RNAcentral describes it as "partial contains small subunit ribosomal RNA, internal transcribed spacer 1, and 5.8S ribosomal RNA". The record is from RNAcentral.
UCUCCGUUGGUGAACCAGCGGAGGGAUCAUUACCGAGUUUACAACUCCCAAACCCAAUGUGAACCAUACCAAACUGUUGCCUCGGCGCGGUCACGCCCCGGGUGCGUCGCAGCCCCGGAACCAGGCGCCCGCCGGAGGGACCAACCAAACUCUUUCUGUAGUCCCCUCGCGGACGUUAUUUUUACAGCUCUGAGCAAAAAUUCAAAAUGAAUCAAAACUUUCAACAACGGAUCUCUUGGUUCUG